RNAcentral lists this ribosomal RNA (466 nucleotides) under uncultured bacterium. Its description in RNAcentral is "bacterial SSU rRNA". It matches the Rfam family "Bacterial small subunit ribosomal RNA", at positions 331 to 794 of the family's 1533-position model. The record is from RNAcentral.
CCAGACUCCUACGGGAGGCAGCAGUGAGGAAUAUUGGUCAAUGGGCUUACGCCUGAACCAGCCAAGUCGCGUGAGGGAAGACUGCCCUAUGGGUUGUAAACCUCUUUUGUCAGGGAGCAACGCCGGCUACGUGUAGCCGGACUGAGAGUACCUGAAGAAAAAGCAUCGGCUAACUCCGUGCCAGCAGCCGCGGUAAUACGGAGGAUGCGAGCGUUAUCCGGAUUUAUUGGGUUUAAAGGGUGCGUAGGCGGGAUGCCAAGUCAGCGGUAAAAAUGCGGUGCUCAACGCCGUCGAGCCGUUGAAACUGGCGUUCUUGAGUGGGCGAGAAGUAUGCGGAAUGCGUGGUGUAGCGGUGAAAUGCUUAGAUAUCGCGCAGAACCCCGAUUGCGAAGGCAGCGUACCGGCUCCACACUGACGCUGAGGCACGAAAGCGUGGGUAUCGAACAGGAUUAGAUACCCUUGUAUA